RNAcentral lists this small RNA (147 nucleotides) under Karenia brevis. RNAcentral describes it as "partial Cyanobacteria transfer-messenger RNA". Lineage: Eukaryota; Dinophyceae; Gymnodiniales; Kareniaceae. The record is from RNAcentral.
AUUGGUAUGCAAAGCGGAAAGCGAUUUUGGCUUUCGGGCGAGUGCAGGCAGUUGGUACAUCUCGGGAGUUGAAGGUGAAAUUUGGCGCAGGCUAUCAUCUCAAGGUGGAGGUCUCGGCAGCAGCAUCUCGCGAAAACAUGGCUGAGG